Molecule: ribosomal RNA, 490 nt
Filed under: uncultured bacterium
Lineage: Bacteria
Description: partial 16S ribosomal RNA
Rfam family: Bacterial small subunit ribosomal RNA
Source: RNAcentral
AUUGAACGCUGGCGGCAGGCCUAACACAUGCAAGUCGAACGGUAACAGGAAGAAGCUUGCUUCUUUGCUGACGAGUGGCGGACGGGUGAGUAAUGUCUGGGAAACUGCCUGAUGGAGGGGGAUAACUACUGGAAACGGUAGCUAAUACCGCAUAACGUCGCAAGACCAAAGAGGGGUACCUUCGGGCCUCUUGCCAUCGGAUGUGCCCAGAUGGGAUUAGCUAGUAGGUGGGGUAACGGCUCACCUAGGCGACGAUCCCUAGCUGGUCUGAGAGGAUGACCAGCCACACUGGAACUGAGACACGGUCCAGACUCCUACGGGAGGCAGCAGUGGGGAAUAUUGCACAAUGGGCGCAAGCCUGAUGCAGCCAUGCCGCGUGUAUGAAGAAGGCCUUCGGGUUGUAAAGUACUUUCAGCGGGGAGGAAGGGGGUAAAGUUAAUACCUUUGCUCAUUGACGUUACCCGCAGAAGAAGCACCGGCUAACUCCGUG